Molecule: long non-coding RNA, 2413 nt
Filed under: Hordeum vulgare
Lineage: Eukaryota; Viridiplantae; Streptophyta; Magnoliopsida; Poales; Poaceae
Description: long non-coding RNA (HVUL_LNC002416)
Source: RNAcentral
CGUUUCGUUUUUACGUAAAAAUCAUUGCCAUUGUUAGAAAUUAUGCCCGCGACCCGUGGAUUCCCCAAGCCACCUGCACACCUCAAACCACUGGCCGCCGCAUCUCCGCCCGCUGGCCGCCCCGCCGCAUCUCUGCCCGCUGGCCAGCCAUGUCUCCUUCCACGACUGGAUCAACAUCACCCCCGUCCAAUGGAUUUAUCCCGUUCACCGGCGUUCGCGAUCGACGAGCUGCAGAAUCUCACAACGCUCGAGCUCCAGGCCCGCUCCCCGGCGAGGUGCCUGCGUGGUUCAUCCGCGGUCUCCUGCCGCCACUCGCCGUGGUCGAGCUCCGCUAGAUCGCAGUCAAUGGCACGCUCCCGCCCAAUCUCGGCUCAUCGGGGAUUCUGACUAGGCUUCUCCUCUUCGGGAACAGCCUCUCGGUCCAGGUUCCAGAAACGUUGCUCUCCGUCAAAGGCCUUCUAUCGUAUAAAUUUGUUAUAUUUACUUUAUACUUUCUGGGGUCCUCUAAGUGGCGGUUGUGCUUUUGACGUUUAUGAAUACAGCAAUGACAUUCAUAUUUGUCAAGGCAUUAUUACUGAAGAGACAUAAAAAUUAUAUAUGUGAAACUUUUGUUGACCUAUUAUUCCCACCUCAGAACAAAAGAUUAGAGGAAUAUGAUUUGUCUAUGUAUAUGGUUCGAAGAAUUGACCUGAUGUAGAAGUAUAUGAUUUUGUGUGACUAGCCGUGAGUAAAUAUUGUUGUUUCGACUGGCCGUGAGUAGUGCUGAGGACUUGCGGGUAUUUCUUAGGUAUUCUUUUUACUCAGGUUUGACCAUAGAAACGAACAAGUCUUAUGACCAUCUGUACUGUAGUAUUGAUUAUACUAAUUUGUUGAGAUUUCAGGAUUUCAUAAUCAGGGAAUGAAAUAAAUUCCCACUUUACAGGUAUAUGAUUGAUCAAAUUAUUUAGUUAGUAAGUCAAUAUAUGUGUUAAUGUUAAGCGUUUAUUUCCUUAUAAGUAAUGGGUUCAUCAAGGAACGUAGAGUUCAGAUUGUUGGGCUUAGGAAAAUUAUCUACUAAGCUGUCUUUGAUUUACUCCUCAAAAGCAAUGCUUAUGUUGAGACAUGGCCUUCUAUCAGGAUGAUGGAACAUGCCAUGGUGAAGAAUCACAGUCUCUACUGGAAGUAUCUCAACAGCCAGAGCUUAAAUGUAGAGGUUCUGACUGGAGAUCACCUGCAAUCAUUCUUGGUGAGCCUUCUUGUAUGAAGCAUAUUUUUGCCCCUUUAAAUCCACAAUCUUCUUCCCUGAAUAUCAUGAGACAACUGACAACCAACUCAUAUAAUCGUGUAUAUGUAAUAUCCCUUUUUACAUGGUUAGUUGCUCUAUUCCUGAUUCUGGUAGGAUAUGCAAGGCAUGUUUCAUAACGUUCUUUGAUUUCAUUGUGAUCUUCCUGGGUGAUAUUCUCUUGUUUCUGCUGGUUCUGUCGCCAGGAAACUCAACAGGACUAUCCGAUACUUUUUACUUAGACAGUAAACUAAUACCGUUUUAAAUUAGAUCAAAAUCACAUGCAUUAGAAAUAUACUAAUUGACUAAAACCUGCAGGACUUGAAUGCUUGGAGAGCACACUAUGCCACGUUAAGUGAGGAAAAACGGUUCGUUUCUGUACACAAGUCGUGAUGAUGAUCUAUGAAACCUUAGAAGCGAUAUUCUGAAGUAAGCCCUUGGUGCCGCAGUGGCUGGAGCUUGAACAUUCUAUCGCAUAGACGCGGGUUUGAGUCCAAGUUCUCCCUUUUUUCAUUUUUAAUCUUUUUCCUUUCCUAUCCUUAUAUUACCUAUACUAAUAAAAGUCGUAUCACUUCUGUCCGUACGUCGUAAUUUUUUUUAGCAACCCAUACAUCAUAAUUAAGUAUCAUUGAUGAUCUGGGUCUUACACGCAUCUGCACCAUCAUGUCGAUAAAACAUAUAAUUUUUUCCGUGCUCGUUCGGCUAAAUAUUUAUCCCACAUCACUUAUUUACGCCUAAUCUCACCAAUUUAUAUGCGUACCCACUCAUGAUUCAACAAGCGACAACAAAGAUCUCACCAAAAACACGAUGGCAAUGGCAGUGAGUUAUUUACAUCUGUGCAAAAGAAACACCUGGCCACACGCAUAAGACAUCUGCACAGGAUGAGGGCAAGGAAAACAACCAUAAGCAUUGCCAGAGGCCCGACAACCCACUCGAUUUCGGGAUCAGUAUGAGUCCUGGUGACGAUGUGAGGGUGGACCGAACGAGGGAGAGGAGAGUGGUAGUUUCUGUCGAUCAGAUUUUAGACUAAUUGGUCAAACAAGGCUUGCAAUCGGGUGAGCUUCGCUCAUGUUGUAUUUUAAAUUUUUAUGGCUGCCACUCGACACGGCGGCCAAUUUUAAUAAUCUUUUUCCUAUCAAAAAGCUCUGAUUG